AUACGUAGGUGACAAGCGUUAUCCGGAUUUACUGGGCGUAAAGGGCGUGUAGGCGGUCUUGCAAGUCAGAAGUGAAAUUCCUGAGCUCAACUCGGGCGCUGCUUCUGAAACUGCAGGACUUGAGUGCUGGAGGGGAUAGCGGAAUUCCUAGUGGAGCGGUAAAAUGCGCAGAUAUUAGGAAGAACACCGGUGGCGAAGGCGGCUAUCUGGACAGUAACUGACGCUGAGGCGCGAAAGCGUGGGGAGCAAACAGGAUUAGAUACCCGGGUAGUCCACGCCGUAAACGAUGAAUACUAGGUGUAGGGGGUAUCGACUCCCUCUGUGCCGCAGUUAACACAAUAAGUAUUCCGCCUGGGGAGUACGGCCGCAAGGUUGAAACUUAAAGGAAUUGACGGGU
Molecule: ribosomal RNA, 397 nt
Filed under: uncultured bacterium
Lineage: Bacteria
Description: partial 16S ribosomal RNA
Rfam family: Bacterial small subunit ribosomal RNA
Source: RNAcentral